AACGAACGCUGGCGGCACGCCUAACACAUGCAAGUCGAACGGAAUUUAAGUCUUCGGAUUUAAAUUUAGUGGCGGACGGGUGAGUAACGCGUGGGAACCUGCCUUGCAGUAAGGGAUAACGCCGGGAAACCGGUGCUAAUACCGUAUACGCCCUUCGGGGAAGAUUAUCGCUGAGGGAUGGGCCUGCGGGCCAUUAGCUUGUUGGUGAGGUAACGGCUCACCAAGGCUGUGAUGGCUAGCUGGUCUGAGAGGAUGACCAGCCACACUGGGACUGAGACACGGCCCAGACUCCUACGGGAGGCAGCAGUGGGGAAUAUUGCGCAAUGGGCGAAAGCCUGACGCAGCGACGCCGCGUGGGUGAUGAAGGCC
This 369-nucleotide ribosomal RNA is filed under the name uncultured bacterium. RNAcentral describes it as "bacterial SSU rRNA". It matches the Rfam family "Bacterial small subunit ribosomal RNA", at positions 29 to 416 of the family's 1533-position model. The record is from RNAcentral.